This 383-nucleotide ribosomal RNA is filed under the name uncultured Synechococcus sp. RNAcentral describes it as "bacterial SSU rRNA". It matches the Rfam family "Bacterial small subunit ribosomal RNA", at positions 356 to 754 of the family's 1533-position model. The record is from RNAcentral. Lineage: Bacteria; Bacillati; Cyanobacteriota; Cyanophyceae; Synechococcales; Synechococcaceae.
UGGGGAAUUUCCGCAAUGGGCGAAAGCCUGACGGAGCAACGCCGCGUGAGGGAUGAAGGCCUCUGGGCUGUAAACCUCUUUUAUCAAGGAAGAAGAUCUGACGGUACUUGAUGAAUAAGCCACGGCUAAUUCCGUGCCAGCAGCCGCGGUAAUACGGGAGUGGCAAGCGUUAUCCGGAAUUAUUGGGCGUAAAGCGUCCGCAGGCGGCCCAACAAGUCUGCUGUUAAAAAGUGGAGCUUAACUCCAUCAUGGCAGUGGAGACUGUUGGGCUAGAGUGCGGUAGGGGCAGAGGGAAUUCCCGGUGUAGCGGUGAAAUGCGUAGAUAUCGGGAAGAACACCAGUGGCGAAGGCGCUCUGCUGGGCCAUCACUGACGCUCAUGGAC